Molecule: RNase P RNA, 377 nt
Filed under: Azoarcus sp.
Lineage: Bacteria; Pseudomonadati; Pseudomonadota; Betaproteobacteria; Rhodocyclales; Zoogloeaceae
Description: RNase P RNA component class A
Rfam family: Bacterial RNase P class A
About the family: Ribonuclease P (RNase P) is a ubiquitous endoribonuclease, found in archaea, bacteria and eukarya as well as chloroplasts and mitochondria.
Source: RNAcentral
GAAGUCCGCUAGGCAGUCGCCGCGCAUGAAACAUUGCGCGGAGGAAAGUCCGGGCUCCGCAGAGCAAGAUGCCGGCUAACCGCCGGGCGCCGCGAGGCGACGGAAAGUGCAGCAGAAAACAAACCGCCGAUGGCUCGCGCAACGCGAGAUCAGGCAAGGGUGAAAUGGUGGGGUAAAAGCCCACCGCAGGACUGGCAACAGGACUGGCACGGCAAACCCCAUCUGGAGCAAGGCCAAAUAGGGAAGCGAUGGCGCUGCUCGCGCCGCUUCCGGGUAGGCUGCUGGAGCGCCACGGCAACGCGGCGCCAAGAUGAAUGACUGCCCGAUGCCCCCCAAAGGGCAUCCGACAGAACCCGGCUUAUUGGCGGGCUUCCCUU